This 494-nucleotide ribosomal RNA is filed under the name uncultured bacterium. RNAcentral describes it as "partial 16S ribosomal RNA". It matches the Rfam family "Bacterial small subunit ribosomal RNA", at positions 28 to 507 of the family's 1533-position model. The record is from RNAcentral.
GACGAACGCUGGCGGCGUGCUUAACACAUGCAAGUCGAACGGAAAGGCCUGCUUUCCCUUGUGGAUUGCGGGUACUCGAGUGGCGAACGGGUGAGUAACACGUGAGUGAUCUGCCCCCAACUUGGGUAUAAGCCUGGGAAACUGGGUCUAAUUCCCGAUAGGACUGCAGGGUGGUGCCUGUGGUGGAAAACGAUUUUCUAGUGGUUGGGGAUGAGCUCGCGGCCUAUCAGCUUGUUGGUGGGGUAAUGGCCUACCAAGGCGGCGACGGGUAGCCGGCCUGGGGGGGUGGACGGCGACAUUGGGACUGGGAUACGGCCCAGACGACUGCGGCAGGCAGCAGUGGGGGAUAUUGGACAAUGGGCGGAAGCCGGAUGCAGCGACGCCGCGUGGGGGAUGACGGCCUUCGGGUUGUAAGCUCCUUUCGACCGCGAGGAAGCCACCUGGUUGGAAGGGUGGUGACGGUAGUGGUAGAAGAAGCACCGGCUAACUACGUG